CUCAUGGCUUGGUCAAUCGAAUGAUUUUUAUUGACUUUAUUGAUAAAAUUGCGAACUCCUGUGGUGCGACUGAGCAAAGCCAAAGGAAAGUACAUUCCCUGACGAGAAGAAGUAUAGAAAAGAACACCCAUAUUCUACCAUAGUUAACGAAAAAGCUCUGCAUGCAGGAUGUUGCUGGAGUACCACUAUGACAGAUCACCUCAUUGCAUCUAUUAGGUGCUAGAAAAGCAAUGGAAUUUUUUGUGGAAGGACGAUCAAUCCAUGGAAGAAAGUUCUUAGAGAGUUUUUGCAUGUCAAUUCGAAAAGAAAGCCAUCUCAUUUUUUUGGAUUAAUAUUAAUUGAUAUUUCACCUAAAACCUAGAUGACUUCAUGCAGUGAAAGUGCUUGUUAGAAAUGUCAAAUCAAAAUAUAAAUCACUCUAAAUAAAAAGAGUAACUACACGUU
Molecule: long non-coding RNA, 444 nt
Organism: Saccostrea echinata
Lineage: Eukaryota; Metazoa; Mollusca; Bivalvia; Ostreida; Ostreidae
Exons: 3
Source: RefSeq, a predicted model, not a curated record